Molecule: ribosomal RNA, 200 nt
Filed under: uncultured bacterium
Lineage: Bacteria
Description: partial 16S ribosomal RNA
Rfam family: Bacterial small subunit ribosomal RNA
Source: RNAcentral
AUUGAACGCUGGUGGCAUGCCUUACACAUGCAAGUCGAACGGCAGCGCGGGAGCAAUCCUGGCGGCGAGUGGCGAACGGGUGAGUAAUAUAUCGGAACGUGCCCAGACGUGGGGGAUAACGUAGCGAAAGCUACGCUAAUACCGCAUGUGAUCUGAGGAUGAAAGCGGGGGAUCGCAAGACCUCGCGCGUUUGGAGCGGC